Molecule: ribosomal RNA, 466 nt
Filed under: uncultured bacterium
Lineage: Bacteria
Description: partial 16S ribosomal RNA
Rfam family: Bacterial small subunit ribosomal RNA
Source: RNAcentral
GGUGAACGCUGGCGGCGUGCUUAACACAUGCAAGUCGAACGAUGACGCACAGCUUGCUGGCUGGUUUGGUUGCGAACGGGUGAGUAACUCGUGAGUAACCUGCCCUUAACUCUUUGAUAAGCCAGAGCGACUGGGACUAAUACCUGAUAGCAGCUUCCACCUCCGGGUGGGUGUUGGAAAGCUUUAUCGGUUUUGGGUGGGCUUGCGGCCUAGCCGCUUGUGGGUGAGGUAAUGGCUAACCACCACGACGACGGGUAUCCGGCCUGAGAGGGUGAGCGGCCACACUGGGCCUGAGACACGGACCAGAGUCCAACGUGGGGCAGCAGGGGGGAAUAUUGCACAAUGGGAGCAAGCCUGAGGCAGCGACGUCGCGUGAGGGAUGACGGCCUUCGGGUAGUAAACCUCUUUCAGUAGGGAAGAAGCGAAAGUGACGGUACCUGCAGAAGAAGCACCGGCUAACUACGUG